Molecule: long non-coding RNA, 770 nt
Filed under: Olea europaea (common olive)
Lineage: Eukaryota; Viridiplantae; Streptophyta; Magnoliopsida; Lamiales; Oleaceae
Description: long non-coding RNA (OEUR_LNC012675)
Source: RNAcentral
AUUUUGGUGUGACUUUUCAAUAUUUCUACAGCUUAUCAGAUAUCAGAUUAUAGAAUUUAGUCUAUUCAGUUCUCAGAUUAAAGCUUUCAGCUUAUAGUAUUGAUCAGAAGCAAUAUUUCAUAGAUUUUCACGGAUGUCAUAUUAUUUAUAUUGGUUACAUUUUACAGUUACUUAUCUAGAAUGAAGAACAAAAGAUUUUAUGAUGUAUUCAUGUUUGAUUGUAAAAAGUGUUAUCAGAUUUCAAAUUUUCUUAAAGUUUUAAUAGAGCAAAAAUUUUCAGAAAAUAUGCAUAAGUGAGAAAAGUCUACUUAUUUGCAAAUUGUCCACUCAUUGAGCUUUAAACUCAUAUAUUUUUCACAUUUUUCUUUAUCAGACAGAUAGUAGUCGAAUUGGGCAGUUUUGGAGUCUGUUGAACCACCAAAUUAAGCCACGCGUCAUAAGUUGUAUGAAAUCCUUUAUCAGACUAUACAUUAUAUGUUCUUUUGGGAUACAUGUAGCUUAAAACAGAAAAAUUCAUUAUGGGCUCAUUAGAUAGUUGGUAUCUUUAGUAUAUUUGAGGAUUGUUGAUUGUAAAGCAAGUGAAUGUUGAUUUGUGAGUAUUUUAUUUGAAUAUUUUGUAUUUUGAGAGACUGCCUUACCCUAUUUAUAUUAUAGGUAUUGAUUUGAAGAAAAUUGAUUAUUGUUCAGGUGGUUUAUGCUCAUAUUUCAGGGAAAUUCUGUCAAAAUUUUGUUAAAAAUAUUUUUCAGUCAAGCAAGUCAAGUUGCCUCGG